UGGGGAAUAUUGGACAAUGGGGGCAACCCUGAUCCAGCAAUGCCGCGUGUGUGAAGAAGGCCUUCGGGUUGUAAAGCACUUUUAUCCGGAACGAAACGCGCAGGGUGAAUAUCCUUGCGAACUGACGGUACCGGAGGAAUAAGCACCGGCUAACUUCGUGCCAGCAGCCGCGGUAAUACGAAGGGUGCAAGCGUUACUCGGAAUUACUGGGCGUAAAGGGUGCGUAGGUGGUUGUUUAAGUCUGCUGUGAAAGCCCCGGGCUCAACCUGGGAAUGGCAGUGGAUACUGGACAGCUAGAGUGCGGUAGAGGGUAGUGGAAUUCCCGGUGUAGCAGUGAAAUGCGUAGAGAUCGGGAGGAACACCAGUGGCGAAGGCGGCUACCUGGACCAGCACUGACACUGAAGCACGAAAGCGUGGGGAGCAAACAGGAUUAGAUACCCCCGUAGUCC
This 449-nucleotide ribosomal RNA is filed under the name uncultured bacterium. Its description in RNAcentral is "bacterial SSU rRNA". It matches the Rfam family "Bacterial small subunit ribosomal RNA", at positions 355 to 796 of the family's 1533-position model. The record is from RNAcentral.